UAGGGAAUAUUGGACAAUGGGGGCAACCCUGAUCCAGCCAUGCCGCGUGAGUGAAGAAGGCCCUCGGGUUGUAAAGCUCUUUUGUCCGGAAAGAAAAGCAUUCGGUGAAUACCCGGAUGUUCUGACGGUACCGGAAGAAUAAGCACCGGCUAACUUCGUGCCAGCAGCCGCGGUAAUACGAAGGGUGUAAGCGUUACUCGGAAUUACUGGGCGUAAAGCGUGCGUAGGUGGUUGUUUAAGUCUGAUGUGAAAGCCCUGGGCUCAACCUGGGAAUGGCAUUGGAAACUGGGCAGCUAGAGUACGGUAGAGGGUAGUGGAAUUCCCGGUGUAUCAGUGAAAUGCGUAGAUAUCAGAUAGAACACCAAUGGCGAAGGCAGUCACUUGGUCCAUUACUGACGCUAAAGCACGAAAGCGUGGGUAGCAA
Molecule: ribosomal RNA, 424 nt
Filed under: uncultured bacterium
Lineage: Bacteria
Description: bacterial SSU rRNA
Rfam family: Bacterial small subunit ribosomal RNA
Source: RNAcentral